UACAAGCUCGACGCCGAUGAGAUCUACUCAGGAGGAUUGCACGAGCUUCCCCAGCCGGCCGCCGCCCGGAUAUACUCGUCGGUCCAUGGCCCCAAGGAUUUCGCUGCUCUGGGUACCAACAUCUUUGUCACCCUCAACCUUCGUUACUACUUCGACGACGACGAUGACGCUCCCGCUCCCCCAACCAUCGUCUACAACACCAAGACCGAAGCCCUCUGCGUGGGCCCGCCUCUAGAAUCCGGGAUCCCUGCCUUCUUGGCCGCCAUGGCCGCCGGUGAAAAGCUAUAUGCCUUGACAACCGAGGUGCUCGGCUUGCACGCCUUGUUGUGGGCUCCCAGCAGCCAUCCAUGGAACCUACGGGGUGAUGAGAUGGACUGGUCAUGGAAGAGCGAGCCAUCACUGCCGUCGUGCAGUGGGCUGGACGUCGUCGCCUAUGCGUUGCACCCGGACGGGCGCACCAUCUUUGUGUCCACCGCCUCCGCUACCCAUUCCUUCGACACCGGCAAUGGCCUCUGGAAGGAGCUUGGGGACUGGGUGCUGCCGUUCAGAGGACAAGCCUACUUCGACGACAGCCUGGAUGCAUGGGUCGGGAUUCAUCACGAGGGCGAAGGGCACAUUUGCUGCUGCCCGGUCGCCUCCCGCAGCGCCGCCGCCAGCCGGCCGCCGAAGCCGGACUGCAGGAUGCUCAAGGAGAAGCUGUUCCGCCGCAACAAUGAGGAGCCGUGGAUGGGUGGCGGCCGGCACAUGGAUGCCACUCUCACCUACAUGGGCCACAACAGAUUUUGCCUCGUCGAGAACAUCUUGCGGCAUGAGAAAGUUGUCGACAGCAUGCUCCAUCUCACCUUGUUUGGCCUCAAGUAUGAUCGCGAGGGAGAGCUCCGGACGAAGCUCGGCCCUGCACCAGGUCCUAUCCGGUGUCCAAGAACACCAUGCUGUUCUCUCAUGCAGCAUUCUGGAUGUAACUAA
RNAcentral lists this ribosomal RNA (966 nucleotides) under Triticum aestivum (bread wheat). Its description in RNAcentral is "partial small subunit ribosomal RNA". The record is from RNAcentral. Lineage: Eukaryota; Viridiplantae; Streptophyta; Magnoliopsida; Poales; Poaceae.